GUCGAUAAUGGAUGCCUAGGAGAUUUUGGCCGAAGAAGGACGUAUAUGACGGCGAUACUCAUCGGGAAGGUGUCAUAAACCUGUGAUCCGAUGGUUUCCGAAUGGAGUAAUCCAGCCGCUUAGGCGGUUAGCCUUAAGUAAAAAUGGUUCCGCAAGGGAUUAUAUAGCUUAAGGUAGGGCACGGCGCGAACUGAAACAUCUAAUUAACGCCAGGAAAAUAAAUCGUAAGAGAUUCCCUUAGUAGCGGCGAGCGAACAGGGAAGAGCCUAAACUUGUGCAUAGCACAAGAAUCUCAAAAGUCAAAUGUCAAAACUCAAAACUACAACUCAAAUCCGAUUAAAUCGGAUUCAAAACUGUAAAAAUCUGGAAAGAUUAAAAAAGUUUUUAGAUUUAAAGCUGUAGAUUUGAGAUUUGCGUUUUGCGAUUUGAGUUUCUCGUGCUGUGCAUGAGGGUUGCAGGGCAGACGAUAUUCGAUGUGUGUUGGAUAGCAGAAGAACUUGGAAUAGUUCCCCAAAGGAAGUGAAAGGCUUGUACGCGAAAUCCAAGACACCGAUAGUCUGUUCCUAAGUACCAUGGGACACAUAAUCCUGUGGGAAUCUAGGGUGACCACACUCUAAGGCUAAAUACCAAGAUCUACCGAUAGUGAACUAGUACCGCGAGGGAAAGGUGAAAAGCACCCCGGAAGGGGGAUGAAAUAGAACUGAAAUUGUCGACUAACAAGCAGACAGAGCUUGUCCGCAGGACAAGAGUAAUCAACAAAUCAACAAAUCAACCAAUAAAUACCAAUCAACAAAUAUUCAUUUCUUAAAAUUUGUUAUUGGAUAAUUAGUUGAUUAGAUGAUUGGUAAUUGGUUAUUCUCGUCCUUCGGACGAGUGAUGUCGUGCCUAUUGAAGAAUGAACCGGUGAGUUGUUGUACUUUUCAAGUCUAACCCCGAUUAAAUCGGGGGCAGGCGUAGUGAAAGCGAUCCCUAACAGGGAGUUCGCCUUUGGCGAAAUAGAAAAGUGCAUCAGACCCGAAACCGGGUGAGCUAACCUUGGGCAGGGUGAUUGCCGAUGAAAAUCGGCAGGAGGCCCGAACCCGUAUCUGUAGCAAUAGGUUGGGAUGACCUGAGGUUAGGGGCAAUAUGCCAAACGAACCCGGAGAUAGCUGGUUCUCCCCGAAAUAUAUUUAGGUAUAGCGGGAAUUUUUGUAACUUAGGGGUAGAGCACUGAAUGAAAUUUGCGGCGCAAGCCGUAUGUUUCAAUCAAACUCCGAAUACUAAGUUAUUUAUUUCCUAGUCAGUCUUGUCGGGCUAAGCCGAUGAGUCAAAAGGGAAACAACCCAGACUCCCGUCUAAGGCCUCUAAAUAAAAGCUAAGUUUUUAAGGAAGUCAAGUUCCAAAGACACCCAGGAGGUUGGCUUAGAAGCAGCCAUCCUUUAAAGAAAGCGUAACAGCUCACUGGCGGAUGGAAUUUGGCGCCGAAAAUGUAACGAGGAUUAAGCUUUUUGCCGAAGAUGGAGACUCUUGUGCAUAGCACAAGAAUAUCAAAUGUCAACCCCGAUUUAAUCGGGGUCAAAACUCAAAACUACAUCUUAAAUCUAAAAACUUUUUAACAAAAAUAGAUUUAAGUUUUGAACUGUAGAUUUGAGAUUUGCGUUUUGCGAUUUGAGUUUCUUGUGUUGUGCAUGAGAUUGGUAGGGGAGCGUUUUAAAUGCAGUGAAGCUGUGCUGUAAGGCAUGGUGGAGCGUUUAAAAGUGAGAAUGCCGGUAUGAGUAGCGUAAUGCCGAUGAGAAGUCGGCACGUCGAAAGCCCAAGGUUUCCUCCGCAAUGUAAGUCAGCGGAGGGUUAGUCGGCCCUAAGGGUGCCCCCCGUUAAAGAGGGAUAGCCUGAUGGACAAGUCGUUGAAAUUCGACUACAUGGAAGAGUGCGUUAUCACUCAAGGAUUAACCGAAGUGGAAGAAAAAUGUCUUAUAUAUUGAGAUUUAAGCUAUUAAGUAGUUUGGGUUGGAAAAUCCGUCUGAACGUUUAACUAAGUAGCGAUGACAAGUUUCUGGCAAGCCAGGAGCAAGAUUUUACAUUUCACUUCGCAAGAAAAGAUCCGUGAGAAGUGCUUUUUUAUACCGUACCGCAAACCGACACUGGUGGGCAGGUCGAGAAGACUAAGACGAUCGGGAGAAGGAUGAUCAAGGAACUCGGCAAAAAAACUGGGCGUAACCUAUGGGAGAUGCCCUGCCUCGAUUUAUCGAGGCUACAACAAAAGUUUGUUUAGCAGCUGUUUAUCUAAAACACAGGUCCCUGCAAAACCGAAAGGUAAAGUAUAGGGGCUGACGCCUGCCCAGUGCUGGUAAGUUAAAGAUUGUUUGUGACCCUCGCAAGAGGAUAGCUUAUGAUUUAAGCUCCAGUGAACGGCAGCAGUAACUAUAAGAAAUUGUAGUUGUAAAAUUUAGCCAAAUGCUGGAAAAUCUGUACCGACAAACGGUUGAAGUAUCUGGCGCUACUAUGUUAAUAUAAAAUAUAGUGAAAAAGCGGCCAGUGCAGACAAUCAGCAGGAAAGAUCUUGAUCGGAAAGAAUUAGGCUUAUUCCUUGCAGGAUUUGUUGAAGGAGAAGGGAGCUUUAACGUGUCGCUUCGUAAAAAAAGCGAUUAUAAAGUCAAUUGGCAAGUCGUUUUAAGUUUUAAUGUGUCACAGAAGGAUCCAUCAGUUCUUUAUAUUUUAAAGAAACAAUUGGAAUGUGGGAUUAUUAAAACAAGAAAGGAUGGUUUGCAUUCCCUAGACGUAACAAAUUCUAUGGAAUUAGUCAAAAAAGUUAUUCCAUAUUUUUUAAGAUACCCUUUGCUUUCUAAAAGUAAAAUUUAUAACUUUGAUAUUUUUUGUAAGAUUUCAAAGCUUGUUCAAACCGGAGAACAUAGAAAUAUUAAUGGUUUGAAAAAGAUUUUACUCCUUAGAGAAAAAUUAAAUUCAGGUAAAGGAAGAACAAGAAAAUAUGAAUAUAAGGAUAUAUUUCCGAUUAAGGAAUCCUCAGAGACUAUACGCUAGAACCUCUAUUAAAAGAGGUAUGAUAUAGUCCGACCUCCAAUGCGAGUUGGAGAGACGUAAUCAAUCGUCCAAGUAACAAUGUGAACUGUUCUAUGGUAACAACUUCGUUGCUUUAGAAGAAAAGUGUUUUAGAAAUCUGACUAUAUGCUGGGAUAACUCUGUAUCCGACAAUACCAACUUCGUUGGUGAAAAUUUGAUCGGUGGAGUCAAUCAGCAGGGAAGAUUUGCCAUUUUGGUGAAAACCCUCAGAGACUAAAUGUCAGAAUCCCACUUUUAGUGGGAUAAGAUAUAGUCCGAACUUCAUAGCGAUAUGAAGAGUAUAGAUUUAAAGGAGUCUAUGAAUAACAUAUGAGCGAAGUUCCUUGUCGGGCAAGUUCCGACCCGCACGAAAGGCAGAAUGACUGAACAACUGUCUUGAUCAUCUACCCGGCGAAAUUGAGAUGGCUGUGAAGACGCGGCCUAGUUGUCCUUGGACAAAAAGACCCCGGGAGCUUUACUGUAACUUGGCAUUUGAGGGUUUAUUUUAACUGUUUAGAAUAGGAGGGAGCCUUCGGGCGACAAUGAAAUACCUCUCUUUGAGAUGAACAAUCAUUACUCCUUUGCCACAUAAAAAUCUGGCAGGAGAACAAUGUCUGGCGGGCAGUUUAACUGGGGAGGUUGACUCCUAAAAUGCAACGGAGUUGUACAAAGGUUGGCUAAUUCCGGAUGGAAAUCGGAAUGAUAGUGCAAACGCAUAAGCCAGCUUAACUGCGAGACUUACAAGUCGAGCAGAGACGAAAGUCGGUGUUAGUGAUCCUCCGUAGCCUAGUGGUAGGCGCGGAGCUUAACGGAUAUAAGCUACCCCGGGGAUAACAGGCUGAUCGCAUCCAAGCGUCCACAGCGACGAUGCGGUUUGGCACCUUUUGUAAUUAACAUUGGGGCGCCUAUACAGUAAUGUAUAAGCCUGGUUCUGAUUUAUCUUAGCUCAAGGUAAAUCAAGGAUAAAAUUUACUAGCUCAAAUCGGUGGAUACCAAAAUAUGUCACUUCUUCAAAGAGUGUUUUGGUGAAUACCGAGGUCGCCUAAGGCGACUGUAUCGACUGGAAUUCAGUUUUUAACUGAAGGAAGAUAAAAGCUUUUUAUAGCUUUUAUAAUACGGCUAGCUCACAAGCAGUUAUAUGCUUGCGAUGAAGGUAUAGUCAAUGCUUUUGGUAACAAAAGUUUUACGACAGCGAUGUCGGCUCAUCACAUCCUGGGGGUGGAGAAGCUCCCAAGGGUCCGGCUGUUCGCCGGUUAAAGUGGUACGCGAGCUGGGUUAAGAACGUCGUGAGACAGUUCGGACUCUAUCCAGGACAACCGUUCGAGAUUUGAAAGGAGCCGUCCCUAGUACGAGAGGACUGGGAUGGGGGAAUCCCUGGUGUGCCAGUUGUACCCUAAAGGGGCAACGCUGGGUAGCUAUAUUCCCAACUGAUAACCGCUGAAAGCAUCUAAGUGGGAAGCAGUCCUUAAGAUUAGAUCUCGUGCCGCCGUAAGGCGGUUGAAAACCCCUUGUAGAUCACGAGGUUGAUAGGCGGGCAGUGUAAGCACCGUAAGGUGUUCAGCUUACCCGUACUAAUGGUUAAAGA
Molecule: ribosomal RNA, 4621 nt
Filed under: Candidatus Microgenomates bacterium
Lineage: Bacteria; Candidatus Microgenomatota
Description: 23S ribosomal RNA
Rfam family: Bacterial large subunit ribosomal RNA
Source: RNAcentral